AGACCCCUUGAAGACGACGAGGUAGAUAGGGCAGAGGUGGAAGUGCAGUAAUGCAUGGAGCUGACUGUUACUAAUCGGUCGAGGGCUUAUCCAG
RNAcentral lists this ribosomal RNA (94 nucleotides) under Clostridiaceae bacterium AF02-42. RNAcentral describes it as "partial 23S ribosomal RNA". It matches the Rfam family "Bacterial large subunit ribosomal RNA", at positions 2831 to 2925 of the family's 2925-position model. The record is from RNAcentral. Lineage: Bacteria; Bacillati; Bacillota; Clostridia; Eubacteriales; Clostridiaceae.